UUUGGCCUUUUCCUUUUGGCAGUUCCUGCCGAGCCGAGCCCUGAUUAGAACCACAGCAGGUCAUUCGAUCUUCAGAUGGCUAUAAAAGGUCUGUGCAAGUGACCAUCUCGCUCCUGUCCCAAAUGGAUGAUCACGCAUAGCGCACAUUGCCGCACUCCUGGCAGGACUUCAGCAAAACUGCCGCGUUUUUCCUUCCAGAGCUAAAGCAUAACACAAGGUUUUCCUUGUGAAUGUGCUUUUAAUGUUCACGGGCUUGUUGCAGUGCUGCCAACAGUGUUAAAAAUAACAGAGCAAGACUGACUUUGAUGACAGAAAAGCAACGUUUUCAUUGUAAAAGUAGAUUUCUGGUUCUGGAGAGAUCAGUUUAAGAAGAGGGAUGAAGAAGAUAAACAGAACCUGCAUUAAAUUUUGGGAGCUGGUCAGGACCAAAUGUAUUGAACUCUACCCAUCAAAGAUACCAGGUAAACACCAGCAUCAAUCACAGAUGAAGCCCAGAGUGAGAAGGACUGCAGGUGAGAUGUCACUCUGAGGUGUCCUCACAAUGGUCCUAUGCUCUUUCUCCAGUUCAUCUCCAGAUCAUGAUGGAAGCCAGUUUGGGUGAGGAGAUAUCUGGAAAAUAAUAAAGAAUUGGCACCAGGCUCA
RNAcentral lists this long non-coding RNA (642 nucleotides) under Cyanistes caeruleus (blue tit). RNAcentral describes it as "lncRNA (ENSCCEG00000015133.1)". The record is from RNAcentral. Lineage: Eukaryota; Metazoa; Chordata; Aves; Passeriformes; Paridae.